This 1540-nucleotide unclassified non-coding RNA is filed under the name Hevea brasiliensis (rubber tree). Lineage: Eukaryota; Viridiplantae; Streptophyta; Magnoliopsida; Malpighiales; Euphorbiaceae. The record is from RNAcentral.
GCUUUAUGCAUCUCUCUUCUCUGAAAAACUUGUAAAGAUUGCUUUUUGAGCUUCUGGAAAAUGCUUGAAGUUUACAGAAGCAGUUCAGUUGAGUGGAAACCGUCGCCGGUGGUAGCUUUAGCUACUAGCGUCGAUGAUUCUCAGGUCGCCGCUGCUCGAGAGGAUGGUUCUCUUGAGAUUUGGCUUGUUUCACCUGGCUCCAAUGGAUGGCACUGUCAACUCAUAAUACAUGGAAAUCCUAAUUCAAGGGUUUCCUCGUUAGUUUGGUAUCAGUCAGGAUCGAGAAAAUUACCUGCAGGCCGGUUAUUUUCAUCCAGCAUUGAUGGAUCAGUUUACGAGUGGGAUCUUUUCGAUUUGACUCAGAAGGCUGUGCUCGAUUCUAUUGGUGUUUCAAUAUGGCAGAUGGCUGUGGAGCCCUGCAAUAAUGCACAGCUUCAUCAGAAUCCUCCAAAGAAGUAUGAGAAUGGCCAUGUUAGUUUUACAAGUGGUGUUAGUAGCGAUAGUGAGAGCAGUGACGGGGAAGAGGAUGAUGACUCAGUUGUUCUUCACGUGGAUGAUGUUAAUGAAAAUGGUCGAAUUGCAUUUGCUUGUGAUGAUGGUCGUGUUCGUAUCUGCGCUAUUUCGGAUGAGAUGAAUUUGUCUUACGAAAGAUUGUUUCCUAAGGUCAAUGGGCGUACGUUGAGUGUCACUUGGAGUUCUGAUGCAAAGAGGAUAUAUUCUGGUAGUAGUGACGGGUUUAUAAGAUGUUGGGAUGCCAAGCUUGCAUAUGAAAUCUACAGGAUAACAGUGGGUCUUGGAGGUUUGGGUAGCGGAUCUGAUCUAUGCAUAUGGUCAUUACUUGCAUUGAGAUGUGGUACCCUGGUUAGUGCAGAUAGUAGUGGGAGUGUUCAAUUCUGGGACUCCCGGCAUGGAACUCUUCUACAGUCACAUUCCAGUCAUAAGGGUGAUGUGAAUGCUUUAGCAGCAUCUCCCAGCCAUAGUAGUGUAUUUUCUGCUGGUUCUGAUGGUCAGGUUAUACUUUAUAAGCUCGCAGCCAAUGAGGUGGGGUCUCACAAUGGAGACAUUUCUUCUGUAGUCGUGAAGCAAUGGGUUUAUGUUAGUCAUGUGAGGGCCCAUACACAUGAUGUAAGAGCCUUGGCAGUUGCUGUACCCAUUGCUCAUGAAGAACCCAUAGUCGAACAGAAGACAAAGAAGCGGCGCUUUAAGGAGAAGGCCCUUGAGUUUAGUUAUCAUAAAUGGGCACAUUUUGGUGUGCCGAUGCUUAUCUCAGGUGGUGAUGACACUAAACUUUUUGCAUACUCUGCAAAGGAAUUCACCAAAUUUUCUCCACAUGAUAUUUGUCCCUCACCUCAGAGACCACCCAUACAAAUUGCAGUAAAUACAACCUUCAGUCAGGUUUCUUUACUCUUGGUCCAGGCUUCGUACUGGAUAGAUAUUUUUUGUGUUGGUGUGAAAAACGGGGUUGUGUCUGACAGCUGCGGGCCAUCUGGUGGGGCUGCGAGGACAGAUCUAGUGGCUCGUGUUAAGUGCAAAACUUCGA